Molecule: small nuclear RNA, 103 nt
Organism: Sciurus carolinensis (gray squirrel)
Lineage: Eukaryota; Metazoa; Chordata; Mammalia; Rodentia; Sciuridae
Source: RefSeq, a predicted model, not a curated record
UUGCUUCAACAGUACAUAUACUAAAAUACGAAUGAUACUGAAGAGAUUGGCAUGGCCCCUGCAUAAGGAUGACAUGCAAAUUUGUGAAGUGUUCCAUAUUUAU